Molecule: transfer RNA, 67 nt
Filed under: Chelydra serpentina (North American snapping turtle)
Lineage: Eukaryota; Metazoa; Chordata; Testudines; Chelydridae
Description: tRNA-Ser
Source: RNAcentral
GAGAGAGGUAUUAUACAAUAAGAACUGCUAAUUCAUAUAUCUAGGAUUAAUUCUCCUAGCUCCCUCA